GGUUAUCAGUCGAUAAUUGCGUUAAUAGAUGAUCGAAAAUCUCUACGAAACUCUUACUUAUCCAGUCUUCUAUUGAUUAAGAUUCCGAUCCAUGCCAUAAAAUUCAUCAAUCCAUUGGAUCUUUGCAUGAUGGCUUCUAAGAUGCAUUUAGUGGGAUUCUAUAACUUCUGGAAUGAGUCUUUACAAAUAAAAGAU
This is a long non-coding RNA of Macadamia integrifolia, 195 nucleotides long. RefSeq lists it as uncharacterized. NCBI's taxonomy places the organism in Eukaryota, Viridiplantae, Streptophyta, Magnoliopsida, Proteales, Proteaceae. The record is from RefSeq and is a predicted model, not a curated record. The transcript has 3 exons.